AACGAACGCUGGCGGCAUGCCUAACACAUGCAAGUCGAACGAGACCUUCGGGUCUAGUGGCGCACGGGUGCGUAACGCGUGGGAACCUGCCCUUAGGUUCGGAAUAACUCCCCGAAAGGGGUGCUAAUACCGGAUAAUGUCUUCGGACCAAAGAUUUAUCGCCUUUGGAUGGGCCCGCGUUGGAUUAGCUAGUUGGUAGGGUAAAAGCCUACCAAGGCGACGAUCCAUAGCUGGUCUGAGAGGAUGAUCAGCCACACUGGGACUGAGACACGGCCCAGACUCCUACGGGAGGCAGCAGUGGGGAAUAUUGGAAUAUCGGCGAAAGCCUGAUCCAGCAAUGCCGCGUGAGUGAUGAAGGCCUUAGGGUUGUAAAGCUCUUUUACCCGGGAUGAUAAUGACAGUACCGGGAGAAUAAGCUCCGGCUAACUCCGUG
Molecule: ribosomal RNA, 433 nt
Filed under: uncultured bacterium
Lineage: Bacteria
Description: partial 16S ribosomal RNA
Rfam family: Bacterial small subunit ribosomal RNA
Source: RNAcentral